CUUCUGGACAGUACUGACGCUGAGAUGCGAAAGCGUGGGGAGCAAACAGGAUUAGAUACCUGGUAGUCCACGCUGUAAACGAUGUCGAUUUGGAGUUUGUUGCCUAGAGUGAUGGGCUCCGAAGCUAACGCGAUAAAUCGACCGCCUGGGGAGUACGGCCGCAAGGUUAAAACUCAAAUGAAUUGACGGGGGCCCGCACAAGCGGUGGAGCAUGUGGUUUAAUUCGAUGCAACGCGAAGAACCUUACCUGGUCUUGACAUCCAUAGAAUUCUGCAGAGAUGUGGGAGUGCCUUCGGGAACUAUGAGACAGGUGCUGCAUGGCUGUCGUCAGCUCGUGUUGUGAAAUGUUGGGUUAAGUCCCGCGACGAGCGCAACCCUUAUUCUUUGUUGCCAGCGAUUUGGUCGGGAACUCAAAGGAGACUGCCGUUGAUAAAGCGGAGGAAGGUGGGGACGACGUCAAGUCGUCAUGGCCCUUACGACCAGGGCUACACACGUGCUACAAUGGCGUAUACAAAGGGAAGCGAGGGUGCGAGCUGGAGCGGAUCUCAUAAAGUACGUCUAAGUUCGGAUUGGAGUCUGCAACUCGACUCCAUGAAGUCGGAAUCGCUAGUAAUCGUAGAUCAGAAUGCUACGGUGAAUACGUUCCCGGGCCUUGUACACACCGCCCGUCACACCAUGGGAGUGGGUUGCACCAGAAGUAGAUAGCUUAACCGCGAGGGGGGCGUUUACCACGGUGUGAUUCAUGACUGGGGUGAAGUCGUAACAAGGUAACCA
This 774-nucleotide ribosomal RNA is filed under the name uncultured Enterobacteriaceae bacterium. RNAcentral's name for it is "bacterial SSU rRNA". It matches the Rfam family "Bacterial small subunit ribosomal RNA", at positions 726 to 1502 of the family's 1533-position model. Lineage: Bacteria; Pseudomonadati; Pseudomonadota; Gammaproteobacteria; Enterobacterales; Enterobacteriaceae. The record is from RNAcentral.